Molecule: long non-coding RNA, 307 nt
Organism: Alosa sapidissima (American shad)
Lineage: Eukaryota; Metazoa; Chordata; Actinopteri; Clupeiformes; Clupeidae
Exons: 3
Source: RefSeq, a predicted model, not a curated record
CUGAGCUGACCAUAGUCUGCCAGCUGACCGUAUCUGGGACCGUAUCCACCCGCAGACAUACAUCCAGGAAAAGCGAAAGCCAGCAGCAGACAUAAGGGCGGCCUUAUCCUCUUCGUUUGAUCUGAAGGAGCUAAGAUAACAUCAGAGGACAUUAAAUUGCUUUGCCUUCCCUUAAGAAGACCUUAACAAAGGAUGGAAAAGUCUACUUUAAUGCCACAUGCUCUCCAUUAACAAAGGAAGGGUAUGGGGAGCCUUGUUGGUUUCCGAACACAGUCAAGUGGAGUGGCAGAAACCUGUGGACUUUGGG